GUUUUAGGCCAUGUUGGCCAAUCAGAAGCCUGACAAAGUUUCAAGUAGGCGGAGAUAACAGCGCAGGCUCCGACGUCACAAGCCAAAAACUCUGGUUUUGCUGUCUACACCAUAACACUGCAACCGGAGUUUUUUUAAAUCUUCACCCUGGCAGGAGUUUUCAAAAUGUUCGGUUUCAGUGACCUGGUGCAGUGUUUGCGUGAGGACGAACGGCCAAACUGCAUUGAAAAAGCUGCUGUUUUGAAAAUAACCGAGUUCGUGUGGACGGCCAAUGAGUGCGUGCGUUGAGCAUUCAAAUCGCAUUUAAACUGAAGCAGAGGAGGUUACCAUGGUAACAGGGCUCAACUCACUCAGCUGACAAGUAGCCAGAAGCUGUCUCUCUGCUGUUUUCACUUUCAGGAGUGGUUUAGUGUCUUCAUAAAGACCGUUAGCAUCACAACCGUUAACUAUGGAGGCUAACAAUUAGAGGAGCGUCAGAAAAAAAUACUUAAAGCAGGGGAAGUUACAAGAAAAUUUGUAAUGAGAGCUGCUGACAGAGAUACAGGAAACACAGGUGAUCUGAG
Molecule: long non-coding RNA, 563 nt
Organism: Onychostoma macrolepis
Lineage: Eukaryota; Metazoa; Chordata; Actinopteri; Cypriniformes; Cyprinidae
Exons: 3
Source: RefSeq, a predicted model, not a curated record